Molecule: long non-coding RNA, 560 nt
Organism: Dromaius novaehollandiae (emu)
Lineage: Eukaryota; Metazoa; Chordata; Aves; Casuariiformes; Dromaiidae
Exons: 3
Source: RefSeq, a predicted model, not a curated record
CCAGUCGCCUCCAGCGGCUCAGCUCCAAAGACGCCCCGCAUGCCGCAGCAGGCCUCUGAGCUCCAGUGGCUCUCAAACACCUGCAUUGCUUUCCAAGAGUAACCGCACACGUAGCGUAAAAUUUGAAAUCCUGAUCUGGCAGGCGGAGAGGCAAGGGUUGCACUAAAAAUCAGUUUUCUACUUUUCUUUCUUUCUUUUUUUUUUUAAAGAAGAACAGGUUGAAAAUAAUCUUCUCUCCUGGUGGUGAAGAAUACUUAAUGCUCAGUCAUCUCUGUGCUCCUACCUGGCUACAGGGUUCUAUAAAUGGAUCAGAAAAACAUCCCCGUGAGCAUGCUGAAAGGGACUUGAAGGCAUUUGGACUUUGCUCUCCAGCAUAAACUCCAUAGUGGUGUCAGUGGUGCAGUGCAGACCGACGCCAGGCACUGCCUGUCACCACAGCGGCUGGGAGUCCUGGCUGGCGAUCUCGGCCUGCUCCUGUUCCUAAGAGCAGGGCCUUCAACGCAGCCCUAAAGGGCCUGGGCUGCCACAGAGGUAAGUUCUAAAAAAUCUUAAACCAUCAA